AGCAGCCGCGGUAAUUCCAGCUCCAAUAGCGUAUAUUAAAGUUGUUGCAGUUAAAAAGCUCGUAGUUGAACUUCGGGAUCAAGGAAUCGGUCAUGCCUUGGUAUGCACUGGUUUUAUUGGUUCUCACCUUCUAAAGAACCAUAAUGUCAUUCAUUUGAUGUUAUGGGGAAUUAGGACUGUUACCUUGAAAAAAUUAGAGUGUUUAAAGCAAGCUUACGCUUGAAUACAUUAGCAUGGAAUAAUGAAAUAGGACAUCCGAUUCUAUUUUGUUGGUUUCUAGGAUCGAUGUAAUGAUUAAUAGGGAUAGUUGGGGGCAUUAGUAUUCAAUUGUCAGAGGUGAAAUUCUUGGAUUUAUUGAAGACUAACUACUGCGAAAGCAUUUGCCAAGGAUGUUUUC
This 397-nucleotide ribosomal RNA is filed under the name uncultured Glomeromycotina. RNAcentral's name for it is "SSU rRNA". It matches the Rfam family "Eukaryotic small subunit ribosomal RNA", at positions 569 to 971 of the family's 1831-position model. The record is from RNAcentral. Lineage: Eukaryota; Fungi; Glomeromycota.